GAAAUAUAUUAAAAAUAAAGUUUCUAACUUUAUGAAUAGAUUAUAUAUUUUUAACCUAUAUUUCU
RNAcentral lists this transfer RNA (65 nucleotides) under Apis dorsata (giant honeybee). Its description in RNAcentral is "tRNA-Ser". The record is from RNAcentral. Lineage: Eukaryota; Metazoa; Arthropoda; Insecta; Hymenoptera; Apidae.